This 400-nucleotide long non-coding RNA is filed under the name Homo sapiens (human). RNAcentral's name for it is "non-protein coding lnc-DNAJA1-3:1". Lineage: Eukaryota; Metazoa; Chordata; Mammalia; Primates; Hominidae. The record is from RNAcentral.
AGAGAUGUGGAACCCUGCCCUUGUAGCUCCUCUCCACGCAGGAUCUGCAGGCUUCCUCUUCUGCACUGUGUUCAUUGAAUGUUUGCCUCCCAGACUGACGGGGAGCUCAAAGGGACCCAAAUUCUCAAAGAGAAGUUUUCUGGAGCUACAGCUAUCCAAGUCACUGACAUUUCAGGAGGCUGUAGGUGAUGUAUAAAAUCCAAAUCAAACCAGAAGAAUUUAAAGAAACAAGAACUGUCCCUCAGCACCAGAUGAUUAAUCAGGCACUAAAAAAGGAAAAUCAAAGGGAUGCACAGAUGGUGGGUAUUUACCUCUGUCCCCAGACACUGACCUCCAUGCCCCCGGGGCUGUGUAGAUGCAGCUGCCUAAAACUUCGGAUGAACUUGACUGGAACCACUCU